CCCAAUAAUUUAUUCUUUGUCUAAGUACUUUAAUUUCUGUUUCCAUUUUCCUCUGUGAAUCUACCACCAUUUUAAAUUGGUAUUCCCUUUGUUCAUAUCUCUCUUCAAUCUGUGUUAUCUUUGUACACACAUCCUCAAUUUGUUGUUUAAGUUGAAGUAGAAUAUUUUGGAUCUCUAUUUGGAAUGUUUCAGUUUUUUGUUCCAAACUAAUUUUGAUAAAUUCUUGUAAAUUAAAUGAGGAUUUUCUUUUUUCCUCUAUUAUUGAUUCUUGAUUCUUCCAGCACCGGGCUUUCCACCCUAGAUUUAUUGUGUUGCUCUGUUUGCUUUUGGCAAGAAAAAUUACGAGACUCCUUUUUCUUUUUUUGGCCCUUUUUUCCCCCUUGUGUUUUGAGAGUAGCCAUAUCUGGUCCAUUUAAUUAAUAGUUGACCUUUAACCCCUUAAGGAGAAAACUUCUGGAAUAAAAGGGAAUCAUGACAUGUCACACGUCAUGUGUGCUUAAAGGGUUAAAUGGCCACUUUUGUUAAGUUUUAUACCUUCAAUUUAUGGGAAGUUACUUCUACUUCUAG
Non-coding RNA from Pelobates cultripes (western spadefoot toad), 567 nucleotides. The record is from the annotation of a GenBank genome assembly. Lineage: Eukaryota; Metazoa; Chordata; Amphibia; Anura; Pelobatidae.